RNAcentral lists this ribosomal RNA (472 nucleotides) under uncultured organism. RNAcentral describes it as "partial 16S ribosomal RNA". It matches the Rfam family "Bacterial small subunit ribosomal RNA", at positions 332 to 796 of the family's 1533-position model. The record is from RNAcentral.
UACACUCCUACGGGAGGCAGCAGUGGGGAAUUUUGGACAAUGGGCGAAAGCCUGAUCCAGCAAUGCCGCGUGUGUGAAGAAGGCCUUCGGGUUGUAAAGCACUUUUGUCCGGAAAGAAAUCCUUGGCUCUAAUACAGUCGGGGGAUGACGGUACCGGAAGAAUAAGCACCGGCUAACUACGUGCCAGCAGCCGCGGUAAUACGUAGGGUGCGAGCGUUAAUCGGAAUUACUGGGCGUAAAGCGUGCGCAGGCGGUUUGCUAAGACCGAUGUGAAAUCCCCGGGCUCAACCUGGGAACUGCAUUGGUGACUGGCAGGCUAGAGUAUGGCAGAGGGGGGUAGAAUUCCACGUGUAGCAGUGAAAUGCGUAGAGAUGUGGAGGAAUACCGAUGGCGAAGGCAGCCCCCUGGGCCAAUACUGACGCUCAGGCACGAAAGCGUGGGGAGCAAACAGGAUUAGAAACCCCGGUAGUCC